This 254-nucleotide ribosomal RNA is filed under the name uncultured bacterium. Its description in RNAcentral is "partial 16S ribosomal RNA". It matches the Rfam family "Bacterial small subunit ribosomal RNA", at positions 524 to 776 of the family's 1533-position model. The record is from RNAcentral.
UACGUAGGGGGCGAGCGUUGUCCGGAUUUAUUGGGCGUAAAGAGCUCGUAGGCGGUUCGGUAAGUCGGAUGUGAAAUCUCCACGCUCAACGUGGAGGGGCCAUUCGAUACUGCCGUGACUCGAGUACGGUAGAGGAGUGUGGAAUUCCCGGUGUAGCGGUGAAAUGCGCAGAGAUCGGGAGGAACACCCGUAGCGAAGGCGGCACUCUGGGCCGAUACUGACGCUGAGGAGCGAAAGCGUGGGGAGCAAACAGG